Molecule: non-coding RNA, 23 nt
Filed under: Arabidopsis thaliana (thale cress)
Lineage: Eukaryota; Viridiplantae; Streptophyta; Magnoliopsida; Brassicales; Brassicaceae
Source: RNAcentral
UCACAAUCCAAAGCAUUUGACUA